This 482-nucleotide ribosomal RNA is filed under the name uncultured bacterium. RNAcentral describes it as "partial 16S ribosomal RNA". It matches the Rfam family "Bacterial small subunit ribosomal RNA", at positions 30 to 507 of the family's 1533-position model. The record is from RNAcentral.
AUUGAACGCUGGCGGCAUGCCUUACACAUGCAAGUCGAACGGUAACGGGCCUUCGGGUGCCGACGAGUGGCGAACGGGUGAGUAAUACAUCGGAACGUGCCCGAUCGUGGGGGAUAAUGAGGCGAAAGCUUUGCUAAUACCGCAUACGAUCUACGGAUGAAAGCAGGGGACCGCAAGGCCUUGCGCGGACGGAGCGGCCGAUGGCAGAUUAGGUAGUUGGUGGGAUAAAAGCUUACCAAGCCGACGAUCUGUAGCUGGUCUGAGAGGAUGAUCAGCCACACUGGGACUGAGACACGGCCCAGACUCCUACGGGAGGCAGCAGUGGGGAAUUUUGGACAAUGGGCGCAAGCCUGAUCCAGCCAUGCCGCGUGCAGGAUGAAGGCCUUCGGGUUGUAAACUGCUUCUGUACGGAACGAAAAGCCUUCUUUUAAUACAGGAGGGUCAUGACGGUACCGUAAGAAUAAGCACCGGCUAACUACGUG